UCGGAACGUGUCCCGUAGUGGGGGAUAGCCCGGCGAAAGCCGGGCUAAUACCGCAUAUGCUCUACGGAGGAAAGCGGGGGACCCGGCAGGCAACUGAGGGGCCUCGUGCUAUGGGAGCGGCCGAUGUCCGAUUAGCUAGUUGGUGGGGUAAAGGCUUACCAAGGCUUCGAUCGGUAGCUGGUCUGAGAGGAUGAUCAGCCACACUGGGACUGAGACACGGCCCAG
Molecule: ribosomal RNA, 225 nt
Filed under: uncultured bacterium
Lineage: Bacteria
Description: partial 16S ribosomal RNA
Rfam family: Bacterial small subunit ribosomal RNA
Source: RNAcentral